UAUUCCAAGCAGUUAUUUCUCUUGUUCUUAUUGUAAAAUUGAUUUUUAUUUCAUAGCACGUAAUAGAAGCCAUCUAUAACGUGAAAUAUAUAUCAACUUUGUAAAAAAGAGCAAGCAGUUCCAUUGGGAGACACAUCAAAACGUUCGAAACGCAAAAGCGAAGCGAUUUACAAAACAUUUCAUCGAGAAAGACAAGAUCGAGAGAAUCGUGAGCUGUACGCAAUGAUGCCAUCACCAAAAGGUUCACAGUGGCUGAGCUAUAUUAAGCAUCGAGUUAAGAUGACCAAACAUGGAAUCGAAGCUUACUCGAAUGCAAAGUACACUAAACUCGCCUUGGACAAAUACAUUAGGAGCAACAAAGCUAUCGACGGAUUUGUGAACAAGAUCACCAAUAAGGAUCCGACUCUGUUAUUCCAUGGUGCUGAUGGCGAAGUACCACCUGAUUGCCCGAUGAGAAUUAAAAAACACGUGCGGUGUCCGGGUGUACGCAAACUGAUGCAGGCAUAUAAGAAGCAACCAUACAUUGUUGUCGUGCCGGUGGACGAAUAGGGAACAUCUCAAACAGACGCAAGAUGUAUGUGCCGAUUCCAAAACCAACCCAAAUCGGCUAAAUUCAAGAUGUGUCGGUGCAUACUCAACGCCAUAACACUGCUGCCAACCAAAAUUGUGUCUAAGUUUGGCAAGACAGAUACAUCUACAUAUCGACAGUUACAACGCACAUUGAACAGAGCAUUUGAAAUAGAAGAGGAGCUAAUGUCAAGAGUAAAACCUUACUACAAAAAAUGGCAAUUAGACCUCGAAUGCACCGUGACUUGGCAUCGUGACGUCGUGUCUGCUAAGAACAUUCUACUGAAAGGACUAUGGACAUUGCUUGGACUUCCAAUACCUGCUGCAAUCAACCGAUAUUGGAAUCAAAUCAACGCCGAUGCCGCCGUCUUCGACGACGAUAACGACGUGGACAUAUCCGAAACCGAGUUCGAAUAGCAGCCAACUAAUCAUCACAAUACCAUACAAUAAAAUAAAAUAAAUCAUAAUUAA
Molecule: long non-coding RNA, 1038 nt
Organism: Contarinia nasturtii (swede midge)
Lineage: Eukaryota; Metazoa; Arthropoda; Insecta; Diptera; Cecidomyiidae
Exons: 3
Source: RefSeq, a predicted model, not a curated record